UCGGGCGUGGCCGGGGAGCGGCGCGCCACUUCGGUGUGGUGGCGCAGCAGCGGGCGUUCGGGGCGACCCGGCAGGC
This 76-nucleotide transfer RNA is filed under the name Comamonas terrigena. Its description in RNAcentral is "tRNA-Thr(ggt)". RNAcentral also lists the same sequence under 1 other name. Lineage: Bacteria; Pseudomonadati; Pseudomonadota; Betaproteobacteria; Burkholderiales; Comamonadaceae. The record is from RNAcentral.